Long non-coding RNA from Xyrauchen texanus (razorback sucker), 481 nucleotides. RefSeq lists it as uncharacterized. The transcript is spliced from 4 exons. The record is from RefSeq and is a predicted model, not a curated record. NCBI's taxonomy places the organism in Eukaryota, Metazoa, Chordata, Actinopteri, Cypriniformes, Catostomidae.
UGUGUGAAUGCAACAGAUACGAACGGUAAAAAUGGCAAAAAGAAGGAAAGAAGAGAAAGAAAUGGGUGGGGCCGAAAAAAUAAGAAUUAAAAAGAAAAAAAUUUGGCACAAGAGGCAGCUAAAUGCGCCAAAUUAACAGACCUUUUCCGUAGUGGAAAGAGUGCUGUGGCAGCCGGAGGUGCAGAUGAGGAAGGACCCAGCAGCAUGGACAGGACAGAAUUCCAAUGUAGGAAGAGAGAAGAGGAGGAGCAGGAGAAGAGAGGAGGAGAGAGGAGGAGGAGGCGGCGGCGGAGGAGCAGCAGAAACCAGGAAACAGACAGCUGUACAAUCAGUAAGCAGAGGCAGGGUCCAGCACAGGGGAAACUGAGCCAGGGAGAGUUGAAAGGAGUGGGGCCAAAGUCUUUAUGAUAUCACCAGUUCCAGCACCAGAAUUACUAAAUGUAAAUGAUUAUUUUCUAUUUAUUGACAAAAAUAAAGUACA